UUAAAGUUUUAUCCUGGCUUAUUCUUUUAUUUUCGGAUUAAAGAUAUAUGCAAAGUAUUCUGUGACAUAUAGAGUUUGAGUUAGAUUUAAUAUCUUGAAAUGUAAAAUCAUUUAGAGGAGUUAUUGAAGUGUAAAUUCGCAGUAUUUGGUACUAAUAUAUAGGUGAAAGCUGGAAUUGGUAAUUUCGAUUGUAUAUCUGGUUAAAAUUUGUGCCAGCAGCCGCGGUUAUACUGAGAGGUAAAGUAAAAGAUAGUUGGUUAAAAUGCUUAAAUGUAAAAUUUUAUUUAAAUGAAUUGUUUUGUGUUAAUAAAGGGUGAAAUCGAUUUUUUGUUGUAUAAUUAAUUUUGUUAAAUGAAGGUUGUUGAGGUUAUUAAGGUUAAGGUAUGGACCAGGAUUAGAUACCCUGUUACACUUUACUUGGAAGUUUAUUAUACCUAGGUAAUAAACAGUUAUGAUCUUGAAACUUAAAGGAUUUGGCGGUAAUUUAGUCUAGUUAGAGGAACCUGUCCUAUAAUCGAUAAACCACGUAAUAUCUUACUUUAUCUUGAAAGUUUUCAGUUUAUAUACCAUCAUUAUUAGAUAACUUUAAUAAGAUAAAGAAGUUAUUGAAAUAAUUUUUAGUUAAUAUAUUAGAUCAAGGUGUAGCUAAUGAUAAAGUAGAGAUGGGUUACAAUAAUAUGAGUUUAUAACGAACUUAAGAAAGAACUUUUUUAAUGAAGGAGGAUUUAAAUGUAAAUGUGUUUUAAUAUGACAUAUUGAUUAUAGCUCUAGAUUAUGUACACAUCGCCCGUCGCUCUCGUUAUAUAAAGCGAGAUAAGUCGUAACAUAGUAGGUGUACUGGAAAGUGUACCUAGAAAUU
This 859-nucleotide non-coding RNA is filed under the name Mierspenaeopsis hardwickii. RNAcentral describes it as "small subunit ribosomal RNA". The stretch from base 437 to 853 matches the Rfam family "Microsporidia small subunit ribosomal RNA", at positions 752 to 1303 of the family's 1311-position model. The record is from RNAcentral. Lineage: Eukaryota; Metazoa; Arthropoda; Malacostraca; Decapoda; Penaeidae.